This 166-nucleotide ribosomal RNA is filed under the name Dumasia villosa. RNAcentral describes it as "5.8S ribosomal RNA". It matches the Rfam family "5.8S ribosomal RNA". From Rfam's summary of the family: 5.8S ribosomal RNA (5.8S rRNA) is a component of the large subunit of the eukaryotic ribosome. It is transcribed by RNA polymerase I as part of the 45S precursor that also contains 18S and 28S rRNA. Functionally, it is thought that 5.8S rRNA may be involved in ribosome translocation. Lineage: Eukaryota; Viridiplantae; Streptophyta; Magnoliopsida; Fabales; Fabaceae. The record is from RNAcentral.
CAAAAUGACUCUCGGCAACGGAUAUCUCGGCUCUUGCAUCGAUGAAGAACGUAGCGAAAUGCGAUACUUGGUGUGAAUUGCAGAAUCCCGUGAACCAUCGAGUCUUUGAACGCAAGUUGCGCCCGAAGCCACUAGGCCGAGGGCACGCCUGCCUGGGUGUCACACA